GAAACCACCGCAUCAUGGUGUGGAGAAAAAUUAGAAAAAAUGUUUUGAGUUGCACCAUCAGCGCAUCGUGGAGAGGGCAAAAUUGAUAAUUGUCAAUUUCAGUAGGGGUCCACGAUAUUGGCACAUUGCGCCGUAGACCAAAUUGACAAUUUUCAUUCUUCCAGUGUUGUGACGCAAUUGUGGCGCAUUGUGGAGGGUUCAAAAAUUGAAAAAUAAAAAUAAGAAUUUCAACAGACCCAUCCCGCCUCUAUAUAAACCCUUUCCCACUAAACCCUAAUCCCCUCUUCCAACCCUAGCACCGCCCCACUCCCCCUAAAUGCUAAUUCACUCAAUUUUCUUCCAAAAGUCAAGCCUUUAACGCAUUCACCUAGGUAUCAUGGAGCCCCAACCAAUCAAAGAAAACGUAAAGGGUGGUUCUUCUGCACCGGCAAGGAAAACAGGCAGGCCAUCUGAGACCCAACUCACUAGGGUACCCUGGGCUCCUCCACUUCAGCAUGGACAGGUCGGGAAGAUUGGAUAUAAGGCUGUGAACAAAGCGGAAAAACAGUGGUACAUGAAGUAUACAGAUGCUAAAUAAAUUCCCGAGGUGUUCAUUGAUCGGGCUAGCUUAUUGAGGGAAUGCCCAAACAUGGUACGAUGAGUUGAGCAGCUGAAUAUGAAUUUCAUCUUUCAUUAGCAUACUGAGUGAAUAUUGUACUUAGUUAGCGAGUUUUACGCCAACUGGGAUCCAAGUGACCCCCCCGAUCAUGAGCUCAUGACGAUUCGUAGGAAGGUAGUUUGUUUCACUACUGCAGACAUUAUGAAUUGUUGGGUAUACCAAAGUCAAGCCCAAACUUUUUGAAGUAGUUUAUAGUUUCUCCUCCUUAUGCGCAUAUCAGAGAUCUGUUGUGCGGGGUACGCUCCUCAGCUCGUUGGACUAGGCAUCGUGUCACUGGCCUGCAUUCUUCUUUUCCUUAUGCUCAGAUGAACAUGGAGGCCAGGAUAUGGGGUCGCAUUGCGUAUCUUCGCUUGAUUCAGGGCAAGCAUAUGACAGAGGUUACUAGGGACCGAGUAUGUUUGAUUUAUGCACUGAUGUGUGAUGACGUUGAUGUUAAUAUGGGGCAUGUAAUUUUUUUUGCUAUGAAGAAGGCGCAUACCCAGGUGGGGCGCAGUUUUGUUUUGGAGGAUUGGUGACCUAAUUUCUAUGAAGGCACAGAGUAGAGAGGAUCUGGACUAUAAGCCCGAUGUUUUGACUCACUUGUGGAUAUCACUAUCGCUAGGAGCGCAUCUGGGGCAAAUGGCCUAAUCUUGACCAUGGCUGAGCUCCAAACCCAAGAUGAUGAGAUUUUAGCCAGAAUGUAUGGCCUUCAGAUAUUGCAGCUGAAUAUUGGGGGCAGACCAACCACGCUUGAGAAGCUUUGAGUUGUUGAGUUAGAUUAUCCCUUUGGGCAUCAUGCUAAGACCUUGCUGUAGAUUAGCUCGAACAUUGUGAAGUAUGUCGAUAAUGACAUUCUAACUAAUGAGGAGAGGCGAUAUAGGGACUCAGAUCGAGAGUCAGAUAAGGAGGAUCUGUCUGAUGAUGGAGCUAAUGAUGAUAAUGAGGACGUGGAUGGGGUCGCUGAUGACAUGACAACCAUAGUGCCAUUUGAGUGACCAGGGAGUAUGUUGCCACUCUACAUAUGCUUAUUUGAAAGCACUGGGAUAGUGCUUUGUUUAAGUGUGGGGUUGUUGGUUUUUCUUUUGCUUUUUCAUGUUCUUUUUUAUUCUUGCUAAAUAAUUUUUAUUUUCGGUUUUUUUGGUUUUUGCAAGUUCUAGCUAUCCAGAACACUGGUCUAUAAUAGUUAGUAACUUUGUGGAUUGCAAUUUUCCCUCUUUGGCAUUUAUCACAUAUUGCUUUUAGUUCAAA
This is a long non-coding RNA of Capsicum annuum, 1885 nucleotides long. RefSeq lists it as uncharacterized. The transcript has 2 exons. NCBI's taxonomy places the organism in Eukaryota, Viridiplantae, Streptophyta, Magnoliopsida, Solanales, Solanaceae. The record is from RefSeq and is a predicted model, not a curated record.